Molecule: ribosomal RNA, 647 nt
Filed under: uncultured Basidiomycota
Lineage: Eukaryota; Fungi; Basidiomycota
Description: LSU rRNA
Rfam family: Eukaryotic large subunit ribosomal RNA
Source: RNAcentral
CCUCAAAUCAGGUAGGACUACCCGCUGAACUUAAGCAUAUCAAUAAGCGGAGGAAAAGAAACUAACAAGGAUUCCCCUAGUAACUGCGAGUGAAGCGGGAAAAGCUCAAAUUUAAAAUCUGGUGGUCUCCGGCCAUCCGAGUUGUAAUCUAGAGAAGUGUUACCCGCGUCGGACCGUGUACAAGUCUCCUGGAAUGGAGCGUCAUAGAGGGUGAGAAUCCCGUCUUUGACACGGACCCCCGAGGCUUUGUGGUGCGCUCUCAAAGAGUCGAGUUGUUUGGGAAUGCAGCUCAAAAUGGGUGGUAAACUCCAUCUAAAGCUAAAUAUUGGCGAGAGACCGAUAGCGAACAAGUACCGUGAGGGAAAGAUGAAAAGAACUUUGGAAAGAGAGUUAAACAGUACGUGAAAUUGCUGAAAGGGAAACGCUUGAAGUCAGUCGCGUCGGCCGGAAAUCAGCCUUGCUCUUGCUUGGUGUACUUUCUGGUUGACGGGCCAGCAUCAGUUUUGACCGGUGGAUAAAGUUGUGAGGAAUGUGGCAUCUUCGGGUGUGUUAUAGCCUCGCUUCGUAUACAUCGGUUGGGACUGAGGAACUCAGCACGCCGAAAGGCCGGGGUUCGCCCACGUUCGUGCUUAGGAUGUUGGCAUAAU